UACAACUUUCAGCAAUGGAUGUCUUGGAUCCCACAACGAUGAAGAACGCAGCAAAAUGUGAUACGUAUUGCGAAUUGCAGGACCUCGUGAAUCAUCAAAAUUUUGAACGCACAUUGCGCU
Molecule: ribosomal RNA, 120 nt
Filed under: Conticribra weissflogii
Lineage: Eukaryota; Bacillariophyta; Thalassiosirophyceae; Thalassiosirales; Thalassiosiraceae
Description: partial 5.8S ribosomal RNA
Rfam family: 5.8S ribosomal RNA
About the family: 5.8S ribosomal RNA (5.8S rRNA) is a component of the large subunit of the eukaryotic ribosome. It is transcribed by RNA polymerase I as part of the 45S precursor that also contains 18S and 28S rRNA.
Source: RNAcentral